This 758-nucleotide ribosomal RNA is filed under the name uncultured marine haptophyte. Its description in RNAcentral is "bacterial SSU rRNA". It matches the Rfam family "Bacterial small subunit ribosomal RNA", at positions 544 to 1310 of the family's 1533-position model. Lineage: Eukaryota; Haptophyta. The record is from RNAcentral.
UCCGGAAUCAUUGGGCGUAAAGCGCCUGUAGGUUGUUUAAUAAGUCUGUUGUUAAAGACUAGGGCUCAACCCUAGAAAAGCAAUGGAAACUACUAGACUAGAGUAUGGCAGGGGUAGAGGGAAUUUCUAGUGUAGCGGUGAAAUGCGUAGAUAUUAGAAAGAACACCGGUGGCGACAGCGCUCUACUGGACCAUUACUGACACUCAGAGGCGAAAGCUAGGGUAGCAAAAGGGAUUAGAUACCCCUGUAGUCCUAGCCGUAAACGAUGGAUACUAGAUGUUGUGCGUAGUGUACAGUGUCCUAGCUAACGCGUUAAGUAUCCCGCCUGGGGAGUACGCUCGCAAGGGUGAAACUCAAAGGAAUUGACGGGGGCCCGCACAAGCGGUGGAGCAUGUGGUUUAAUUCGAUGCAACGCGAAGAACCUUACCAGGGCUUGACAUACUACAAAUUCUUUAGAGAUAAAGAAGUGCCUUCGGGAAUGUAGAUACAGGUGGUGCAUGGCUGUCGUCAGCUCGUGUCGUGAGAUGUUGGGUUAAGUCCCGCAACGAGCGCAACCCUUAUUUUUAGUUACUAAUUCGUUAGGUUCUCUAGAAAGACUGCCGGUGACAAACCGGAGGAAGGUGAGGAUGACGUCAAGUCAGCAUGCCCCUUAUGUCCUGGGCUACACACGUGCUACAAUGGUUAAGACAAAGAGUCGCGAGCUCGCGAGAGUCGGCUAAUCUCAUAAACUUAGCCUAAGUUCAGAUUGUAGGCUGCAA